This 165-nucleotide unclassified non-coding RNA is filed under the name uncultured Ascomycota. Its description in RNAcentral is "sequence contains ITS1". Lineage: Eukaryota; Fungi; Ascomycota. The record is from RNAcentral.
CAGAGUUCAUGCCCUCCAGGGUAGAUCUCCCACCCUUGCCUAUAUUACAAAAUGUUGCUUUGGCGGGCCGGAUGCUUUGGCCCCCUGGGAAAACUCCCGGUGUGCCCGCCAGAGGACCCCUAAACUCUGAAUAUUAGUGUCGUCUGAGUAUUAUAAUAAUAGUUA